UAAUAUUAUAAAUACAAAUUCCCGAGUAAAUGUGAGCUAUACUUAAUAAAGGAUUAGGGUGGUUAACUUAGUCUGUAGCAUAAUACAAGGUUUUAAUUAAAUAUAGGAAUGAAAUGUUUUCAUAUAUUUAUAUAUCUGGAUUAACUUUAAAUAUUAUUAGAAUAAUAGACAAUCUUUAAGUUAUAAGAUUUGAAGAAUAACAUAGUUUUAUAUUUAAGUUCCCUUAAAUAUAUUAUAUAGAUAUUUAUGCUUAUUAUUAUUUUAUAUUUAUACAUGUUUUUUAAAGUUAACAAUAAUUGAGCAUAUAUAUUAUUUGUAUAAUGUUUAAAUAAGUAUUAAAAGAAUAUUUAUGUAAAGAAUUCAGCAAACAUUUAAUUCAUCUGUUUAUCAAAAACAUAGCUUGAAGUAAAUAUUUUAAGUGCAACCUGCCCAGUGAUAGUUUUAACGGCCGCAGUACAUUGACUGUGCUAAGGUAGCAUAAUAAAUUGGCUUUUAAUUGGAGUCGGGUAUGAAAGGUUUAUAUGAAAUUAAGUCUGUUUCUUGUAAAGUUUCAAAAAAUUUCCAGGCAAGUGAAAAUGCUUGCUAUAAUUAAAUUAGACGAGAAGACCCUAAGAAUUUUAUUUUAAUAAUUUAUUCAUAUAACAAUUUUGUUGGGGCAACAAAUUUGGAAAGAAAUCAAAUUAUAACAAUAUAACUAAAAGAUUAUUUAUAUAGAUGGUUAAAUUACCUUAGGGAUAACAGCAUAAUUUUUAUAAAGAUUAUGACCUCGAUGUUGGAUUAAGGGCUAUUUUAGGUUAGACACUUAAAUAGAUUGUUCUGUUCGAACAUAAAACCUUA
Molecule: ribosomal RNA, 837 nt
Filed under: Pagodulina pisidica
Lineage: Eukaryota; Metazoa; Mollusca; Gastropoda; Stylommatophora; Pagodulinidae
Description: partial 16S ribosomal RNA
Source: RNAcentral